RNAcentral lists this ribosomal RNA (497 nucleotides) under uncultured bacterium. Its description in RNAcentral is "partial 16S ribosomal RNA". It matches the Rfam family "Bacterial small subunit ribosomal RNA", at positions 28 to 507 of the family's 1533-position model. The record is from RNAcentral.
GAUGAACGCUGGCGGCGUGCCUAAUACAUGCAAGUCGAGCGAACGGACCAGAAGCUUGCUUCUCUGAUUUUAUCGGCGGACGGGUGCUUAACACGUGGAUAACCUACCUCUCCGACUGGGAUAACUUCGGCAAACCGUAUCUACUACCCGAUAAUAUUUUGACCCUCAUUGUUCCAACGUUGAAUACGCUCUUGCUUUCACUUAUAGCUUGAUCCGCGCUGCAUGAGUUCGUUGGGAAGGUGACGGCUUACCAACGCACCGAGGGAUAGCCGACCUAAGAGGGUGAUCCGCCACACGGGAAGUGAGGCGAAGGGCAGACUCCGAAGGGAGGCAGCGGUAGGGAAUCUUCCGCAAUGGGCGAAAGCGGGAGGGAGCAACGCCGCGUGAGGGAUGAAGGUCUUAGGAUCGGAAAGAUCUGUUAGUAGGGAAGAACAUAUGUGUAAGUAACGGUGAAGAUAUUGACGGUACCGAAUGAGAAAGCCACGGCUAACUACGUG